Molecule: ribosomal RNA, 597 nt
Filed under: Trichoderma asperellum
Lineage: Eukaryota; Fungi; Ascomycota; Sordariomycetes; Hypocreales; Hypocreaceae
Description: eukaryotic LSU rRNA
Rfam family: 5.8S ribosomal RNA (bases 218-371)
Source: RNAcentral
UUUUGUAUAGGGGUGCCUGCGGAGGGAUCAUUACCGAGUUUACAACUCCCAAACCCAAUGUGAACGUUACCAAACUGUUGCCUCGGCGGGGUCACGCCCCGGGUGCGUCGCAGCCCCGGAACCAGGCGCCCGCCGGAGGAACCAACCAAACUCUUUCUGUAGUCCCCUCGCGGACGUAUUUCUUUACAGCUCUGAGCAAAAAUUCAAAAUGAAUCAAAACUUUCAACAACGGAUCUCUUGGUUCUGGCAUCGAUGAAGAACGCAGCGAAAUGCGAUAAGUAAUGUGAAUUGCAGAAUUCAGUGAAUCAUCGAAUCUUUGAACGCACAUUGCGCCCGCCAGUAUUCUGGCGGGCAUGCCUGUCCGAGCGUCAUUUCAACCCUCGAACCCCUCCGGGGGAUCGGCGUUGGGGAUCGGGACCCCUCACACGGGUGCCGGCCCCUAAAUACAGUGGCGGUCUCGCCGCAGCCUCUCCUGCGCAGUAGUUUGCACAACUCGCACCGGGAGCGCGGCGCGUCCACGUCCGUAAAACACCCAACUUUCUGAAAUGUUGACCUCGGAUCAGGUAGGAAUACCCGCUGAACUUAAGCAUAUCAAAA